UACAGAGGGUGCAAACGUUGCUCGGAAUCAUUGGGCGUAAAGCGCACGUAGGCGGUCUCGCAAGUCGGGUGUGAAAUCCCUCGGCUUAACCGAGGAAGUGCAUUCGAAACUACGGGACUCGAAUACUCAAGAGGAUCUCGGAAUUCCCGGUGUAGAGGUGAAAUUCGUAGAUAUCGGGAGGAACACCAGUGGCGAAGGCGGAGAUCUGGGGAGAUAUUGACGCUGAGGUGCGAAAGCGUGGGGAGCAAACAGG
This 253-nucleotide ribosomal RNA is filed under the name uncultured Kofleria sp. RNAcentral's name for it is "partial 16S ribosomal RNA". It matches the Rfam family "Bacterial small subunit ribosomal RNA", at positions 524 to 776 of the family's 1533-position model. The record is from RNAcentral. Lineage: Bacteria; Pseudomonadati; Myxococcota; Haliangiales; Kofleriaceae.